RNAcentral lists this transfer RNA (84 nucleotides) under Deferribacteraceae bacterium. RNAcentral's name for it is "tRNA-Leu". It matches the Rfam family "tRNA". From Rfam's summary of the family: Transfer RNA (tRNA) molecules are approximately 80 nucleotides in length. Their secondary structure includes four short double-helical elements and three loops (D, anti-codon, and T loops). Further hydrogen bonds mediate the characteristic L-shaped molecular structure. tRNAs have two regions of fundamental functional importance: the anti-codon, which is responsible for specific mRNA codon recognition, and the 3' end, to which the tRNAs corresponding amino acid is attached (by aminoacyl-tRNA synthetases). tRNAs cope with the degeneracy of the genetic code in two manners: having more than one tRNA (with a specific anti-codon) for a particular amino acid; and 'wobble' base-pairing, i.e. permitting non-standard base-pairing at the 3rd anti-codon position. The record is from RNAcentral. Lineage: Bacteria; Pseudomonadati; Deferribacterota; Deferribacteres; Deferribacterales; Deferribacteraceae.
GCUCGAAUGGCGGAAUAGGUAGACGCAAGGGAUUUAAAAUCCCUCGGUGGCAACACUGUGCCGGUUCAAGUCCGGCUUCGAGCA